This 23-nucleotide non-coding RNA is filed under the name Cricetulus griseus (Chinese hamster). Lineage: Eukaryota; Metazoa; Chordata; Mammalia; Rodentia; Cricetidae. The record is from RNAcentral.
AAAAUUACAUUGGUCUUGUAAAC